Molecule: ribosomal RNA, 473 nt
Filed under: uncultured bacterium
Lineage: Bacteria
Description: bacterial SSU rRNA
Rfam family: Bacterial small subunit ribosomal RNA
Source: RNAcentral
UGGGGAAUUGUUCGCAAUGGGCGCAAGCCUGACGACGCAACGCCGCGUGGAGGAUGAAGACCUUCGGGUCGUAAAGCCCUGUCGUAGGGAAAGAACUGGUUGCAGGCUAAUAUCCUGCAGCCUUGACGGUACCCUACAAGAAAGCACCGGCUAACUCCGUGCCAGCAGCCGCGGUAAUACGGAGGGUGCAAGCGUUGUUCGGAAUUACUGGGCGUAAAGCGCACGUAGGCGGCUAUUUAAGUCUGAUGUGAAAGCCCUGGGCUCAACCCAGGAAGUGCAUUGGAUACUGGGUAGCUGGAGUACCGGAGAGGAGGGUGGAAUUCCUGGUGUAGCGGUGAAAUGCGUAGAUAUCAGGAGGAACACCGGUGGCGAAGGCGUCCCUCUGGCCGGAUACUGACGCUGAGACGCGAAAGCGUGGGGAGCAAACAGGAUUAGAUACCCAUGUAGUCCCUGAGCGGGCUGGCAAGGCGCAU